This 537-nucleotide ribosomal RNA is filed under the name Triticum aestivum (bread wheat). RNAcentral's name for it is "partial small subunit ribosomal RNA". The record is from RNAcentral. Lineage: Eukaryota; Viridiplantae; Streptophyta; Magnoliopsida; Poales; Poaceae.
AUGGAAGAUAUGGCAAAUGAAGAAUAUUCUGAUUCUGAGCAGAUGGUUAUUCAUAAUAUUUCUGUAGUGUCACUUUUUCAAUAUGUGAUGUUCGGAAGACUAUUCAAAACACCACGUAAUACUUCCAAAUUAACUGGUGCUCAGAAAACUAAAGAGUGGUUAGAAGGGCAUCCAGUUAGAUUUUAUGAACAACUUCGCGUUGAUAAGCACACCUUCUGCUUACUGCGAGAUGCAUUGUGCGAGAGGAAUUUACUUACGGAUACAAAGCGGAUGGAUGUGAAUGAACAACUAGUGAUAUUUCUACAUACAAUUGGGCACAAUGUUAGGAAUCGUGUUCUCCAGGAUAGAUUUCAACAUUUAGGGGAAACAAUUAGUCGACACUUCAAGAGAGUUUUAAAAGCCAUAAAUGGUUUGCGUGAUGCUUGCAUAACUGAUCCGGCUAAUGAAAGUUCCAACAAAAAUAUUGGGCGACGAAAGGUACUACCCAUACUUCAAGGUAUAUAUCGUAUCUCAAGAACAUGUUCCUUUUUCAUAUGA